RNAcentral lists this transfer RNA (95 nucleotides) under Alphaproteobacteria bacterium. RNAcentral's name for it is "tRNA-Sec". It matches the Rfam family "Selenocysteine transfer RNA". Lineage: Bacteria; Pseudomonadati; Pseudomonadota; Alphaproteobacteria. The record is from RNAcentral.
GGAGGGGAAUCCGGUCCGGUGGCCGGCUCGGUCUUCAAAACCGUUGCGGCGGCGCAUCGCUGCCAGGUGGGUUCGACUCCCACUCUCCUCCGCCA